This 484-nucleotide ribosomal RNA is filed under the name uncultured bacterium. RNAcentral's name for it is "partial 16S ribosomal RNA". It matches the Rfam family "Bacterial small subunit ribosomal RNA", at positions 30 to 507 of the family's 1533-position model. The record is from RNAcentral.
AUUGAACGCUGGCGGCAGGCCUAACACAUGCAAGUCGAGCGGAUGAAGGGAGCUUGCUCCUGGAUUCAGCGGCGGACGGGUGAGUAAUGCCUAUGAAUCUGCCUGGUAGUGGGGGAUAACGUCCGGAAACGGGCGCUAAUACCGCAUACGUCCUGCGGGAGAAAGUGGGGGAUCUUCUGACCUCACGCUCUCAGAUGAGCCUAGGUCGGAUUAGCUAGUUGGUGGGGUAAAGGCCUACCAAGGCGACGAUCCGUAACUGGUCUGAGAGGAUGAUCAGUCACACUGGAACUGAGACACGGUCCAGACUCCUACGGGAGGCAGCAGUGGGGAAUAUUGGACAAUGGGCGAAAGCCUGAUCCAGCCAUGCCGCGUGUGUGAAGAAGGUCUUCGGAUUGUAAAGCACUUUAAGUUGGGAGGAAGGGCAGUAAGUUAAUACCUUGCUGGUUUGACGGUACCAACAGAAUAAGCACCGGCUAACUUCGUG